Molecule: ribosomal RNA, 253 nt
Filed under: uncultured bacterium
Lineage: Bacteria
Description: partial 16S ribosomal RNA
Rfam family: Bacterial small subunit ribosomal RNA
Source: RNAcentral
UACGUAGGGUCCGAGCGUUGUCCGGAAUUACUGGGCGUAAAGAGCUCGUAGGUGGUUUGUCGCGUUGUCCGUGAAAACUCACAGCUCAACUGUGGGCGUGCGGGCGAUACGGGCAGACUGGAGUACUGCAGGGGAGACUGGAAUUCCUGGUGUAGCGGUGGAAUGGGCAGAUAUCAGGAGGAACACCGGUGGCGAAGGCGGGUCUCUGGGCAGUAACUGACGCUGAGGAGCGAAAGCGUGGGGAGCGAACAGG